CCUCAGUUAUCAUGACACUGAGUUUACCACAUUUUUCUAGGCUCUAUUGUUGACUUUAUGUAGAUGUUUUGUGCACAGUUAUGGAACAAGUUCUGUCUUUUUUAAACAGGUUAGUUGUGGGUGAGUUGUGUGUUUCAGUCCAUCUGCACAUGCAUCCUGGCCGAACUCCAGCUAGUCUGUCGCCGUAACAACGCUUUGUUUACAAGGGAUUCUGCUGUAGGAGCGAAGUUAAACCCAAACGAUUCUUUCUCAGAUAUUAUCCACCAGGUAUCAUCCUGGAAUAUGAAAAAGGAGGAGCUUUGAAGACUAAAUUCAUUGAUUUGUUGGAUUUGUCUCCAGUGUAGGUAAGUUGAGAACAAGUUCUCAUUUACAAUUGCGACCUGGCCAAGAUAAAGGAAAGAAUGAAUGGGGCCAUGUAUCGUGAGAUUUUGAGUGAAAACCUCCUUCCAUCAGCAAGGGCAUUGAAGAUGAAACGUGGCUGGGUCUUUCGGCAUGACAAUGAUCCCAAACACACUGCCCGGGCAACGAAGGAGUGGCUUCGUAAGAAGCAUUUCAAGGUCCUGGAGUGGCCUAGCCAGUCUCCAGAUCUCAACCCCAUAGAAAUUCUGGGCCAAAAUAGCAGCAACAGUGUGUGAAAACCUUGUGAAGACUUACAGAAAACGUUUGACCUCUGUCAUUGCCAACAAAGGGUAUUUAACAAAGUAUUGAGAUAAACUUUUGUUAUUGACCAAAUACUUAUUUUCCACCAUAAUUUGCAAAUAAAUUCAUUAAAAAUCUUACAAUGUGA
This is a long non-coding RNA of Oncorhynchus keta (chum salmon), 787 nucleotides long. RefSeq lists it as uncharacterized. The record is from RefSeq and is a predicted model, not a curated record. The transcript is spliced from 3 exons. Lineage: Eukaryota; Metazoa; Chordata; Actinopteri; Salmoniformes; Salmonidae.